UGCCGCGUGAGUGAUGACGGCCUUAGGGUUGUAAAGCUCUUUCGCCCGGGACGAUAAUGACGGUACCUGGAUAAGAAGCCCCGGCUAACUUCGUGCCAGCAGCCGCGGUAAU
RNAcentral lists this ribosomal RNA (112 nucleotides) under uncultured bacterium. RNAcentral describes it as "partial 16S ribosomal RNA". It matches the Rfam family "Bacterial small subunit ribosomal RNA", at positions 395 to 524 of the family's 1533-position model. The record is from RNAcentral.